GACGAACGCUGGCGGCGUGCUUAACACAUGCAAGUCGAACGGAAAGGCCCUGCUUUUGUGGGGUGCUCGAGUGGCGAACGGGUGAGUAACACGUGAGUAACCUGCCCUUGACUUUGGGAUAACUUCAGGAAACUGGGGCUAAUACCGGAUAGGAGCUCCUGCUGCAUGGUGGGGGUUGGAAAGUUUCGGCGGUUGGGGAUGGACUCGCGGCUUAUCAGCUUGUUGGUGGGGUAGUGGCUUACCAAGGCUUUGACGGGUAGCCGGCCUGAGAGGGUGACCGGCCACAUGGGGACUGAGAUACGGCCCAGAGUCCUACGGGAGGCAGCAGUGGGGAAUAUUGCACAAUGGGCGGAAGCCUGAUGCAGCAACGCCGCGUGCGGGAUGACGGCCUUCGGGUUGUAAACCGCUUUCGCCUGUGACGAAGCGUGAGUGACGGUAAUGGGUAAAGAAGCACCGGCUAACUACGUG
RNAcentral lists this ribosomal RNA (468 nucleotides) under uncultured bacterium. RNAcentral describes it as "partial 16S ribosomal RNA". It matches the Rfam family "Bacterial small subunit ribosomal RNA", at positions 28 to 507 of the family's 1533-position model. The record is from RNAcentral.